Long non-coding RNA from Gopherus evgoodei (Goodes thornscrub tortoise), 125 nucleotides. RefSeq lists it as uncharacterized. The transcript is spliced from 3 exons. The record is from RefSeq and is a predicted model, not a curated record. Lineage: Eukaryota; Metazoa; Chordata; Testudines; Testudinidae.
UUGAACAAAAUUAACAUACAGGUGAACUGGUCUGGUCUCCAGCUCGGAGUCUGUCAGGUCUUAGCUAAUGCCUAGAGCCUUGGCAAAAGCUGGCACCUGCUCUGCCUGCAGUACAGCCUCAUUAU